CUACCCUCGCUUGAAACUAAGCAUAUCAAUAAGCGGAGGAAAAGAAACCAACAGGGAUUGCCCUAGUAACGGCGAGUGAAGCGGCAACAGCUCAAAUUUGAAAUCUGGCUCUUUCAGAGUCCGAGUUGUAAUUUGCAGAGGGCGCUUUGGCUUUGGCAGCGGUCCAAGUUCCUUGGAACAGGACGUCACAGAGGGUGAGAAUCCCGUACGUGGUCGCUAGCUAUUGCCGUGUAAAGCCCCUUCGACGAGUCGAGUUGUUUGGGAAUGCAGCUCUAAAUGGGAGGUAAAUUUCUUCUAAAGCUAAAUAUUGGCCAGAGACCGAUAGCGCACAAGUAGAGUGAUCGAAAGAUGAAAAGCACUUUGGAAAGAGAGUCAAACAGCACGUGAAAUUGUUGAAAGGGAAGCGCUUGCAGCCAGACUUGCUUGCAGUUGCUCAUCCGGGCUUUUGCCCGGUGCACUCUUCUGCAGGCAGGCCAGCAUCAGUUUGGGCGGUGGGAUAAAGGUCUCUGACACGUACCACCUUUCGGGGUGAACAUAUAGGGGAGAUGACAUACCACCAGCCUGGACUGAGGUCCGCGCAUCUGCUAGGAUGCUGGCGUAAUGGCUGUAAGCGGCCCGUCUUGAAACACGGACCAAGGAGUCUAACAUCUAUGCGAGUGUUUGGGUGUCAAGCCCGAACGCGUAAUGAAAGUGAACGGAGGUGGGAACCCGCAAGGGUGCACCAUCGACCGAUCCUGAAGUUUACGGAAGGAUUUGAGUAAGAGCAUGGCUGUUGGGACCCGAAAGAUGGUGAACUAUGCUUGAAUAGGGUGAAGCCAGAGGAAACUCUGGUGGAGGCUCGCAGCGGUUCUGACGUGCAAAUCGAUCGUCAAAUUUGGGCAUAGGGGCGAAAGACUAAUCGAACACCUCUCCGCUUUC
RNAcentral lists this ribosomal RNA (918 nucleotides) under Curvularia trifolii. RNAcentral's name for it is "partial large subunit ribosomal RNA". It matches the Rfam family "Eukaryotic large subunit ribosomal RNA", at positions 24 to 958 of the family's 3401-position model. The record is from RNAcentral. Lineage: Eukaryota; Fungi; Ascomycota; Dothideomycetes; Pleosporales; Pleosporaceae.